RNAcentral lists this ribosomal RNA (514 nucleotides) under uncultured bacterium. Its description in RNAcentral is "partial 16S ribosomal RNA". It matches the Rfam family "Bacterial small subunit ribosomal RNA", at positions 28 to 523 of the family's 1533-position model. The record is from RNAcentral.
GACGAACGCUGGCGGCGUGCCUAACACAUGCAAGUCGAACGGAGAAUUAGCAAUAAUUCUUAGUGGCGAACGGGUGAGUAACGCGUAGACAACCUACCCUUUAGAUGGGGACAACACCGCGAAAGUGGUGCUAAUACCGAAUAUUGCUUGAGAAGCGCAUGCCUUUCAAACUAAAGAUGGCCUCUAUUUAUAAGCUAUCGCUAUAGAAUGGGUCUGAGUCUGAUUAGCUAGUUGGUGAGAUAAAAGCUCACCAAGGCGACGAUCAGUAGCCGGUCUGAGAGGAUGACCGGCCACACUGGGACUGAGACACGGCCCAGACUCCUACGGGAGGCAGCAGUGGGGAAUCUUCCGCAAUGGACGAAAGUCUGACGGAGCAACGCCGCGUGAGUGAUGAAGGUUUUCGGAUCGUAAAACUCUGUUGUUAAGGACGAAUGUAUAGAUUGUGAAUAAUGGUUUAUAAUGACGGUACUUAACGAGGAAGCCACGGCUAACUACGUGCCAGCCGCCGCCGUAA